This 64-nucleotide transfer RNA is filed under the name Fasciola jacksoni. Its description in RNAcentral is "tRNA-Leu". The record is from RNAcentral. Lineage: Eukaryota; Metazoa; Platyhelminthes; Trematoda; Plagiorchiida; Fasciolidae.
UUUGGAGUGCCAGAUUAUAUGGGUUUGAUUUAGGUUCAUAUUAAGGCGUGUUCGUCCUUUAAAG